CGGAACUACGCUUUUUUUCUGAAAGCGGAAGAUGGGCGAGCCGGGCAGUAGAGACGCUUUCUGAAGGGGGUAGAACGGUUCGAGGUUUCGCGGACUGUUUACCUCCAGGGGUCGUUCGUGAGUCAGAGAAACCGGGCCUUUGGAGGGAGAGGGCCUGGCGACAGUCCUUCUGCGCUUGGCUGUGCAGCGUUCUGGCUGCUUCUGCCCGGCGCCACGAGGCCCGCCCCGGCGCUACCCUCGCCCUGCCUGCCCCGGCUCUGUCGGCCUGCGGGCGCUGCAGCCUCUCUCCCGCCGCCGGCGUGUCUGGAAAUGGAGGCCCAUAGCUAGAAGGUCCCGGGUACCCUUUGUUCCCAACCCUGCCUUGCCCGUCUUCCUCUGGGAAUUAGUGAGACCUUGGCCCUAAGGGCGUAACCCCCCGUGGCUCCACGUGGGGGUCCCAUAGCUCUUCUGCUACUUCCGGCAGUGGCUGAGGGAGUCGAAGCUGUGGGUAGUGAGGACAGGUGUGGACAGUAGCAGGGAGGGGAAGGUCUGUGGUUCCUGACGUGCUGCCUCUGUUCCCAAGAAGAUAACUUUCCUAUGGCCCUUGCCCUCUGGCUAGUUAUGGCCCGUCCACCACGUGUCCUCAAAUGCCUGGACUCUGGAGAAAGGCAGCCUCCUUCCUCAGACCCCACGACGCUUGUCGGUCCCACUACCUGUUUUCACCUUUCCCCUCGGAGGCCACCUAGAGCACCUGGCUAGAAAUGGGAGCAACUGGUGGGAUUGGGAUUGAGAUAGGGAGUCUGCAGCAUUUGGAGGGAAGGAGUGGACUAAGAUGGAACUGCAGAACAUUUGAGGCACUGAAAGUUACUGGGGCAAAAUGGGAGGGUCAGGGAGCAGGGGUGAGGGAGCGAGGGAAUGAGACCCAUCAUCUCUGUAUGUCUCAAAAGGAAGAAACUUACGUGUCUCUGAGCAGGCAGAUGAGGAACGCAUUUUUCAGAGCUCUGGUUCUCUGUGAGACACACAACCCAUAGUAAUUUAGUUUUGUUCCAAACGUGUUAAGUGAAGUGCACACCUCCCUAUUUGUUCCUAAGGAGCUACAGCUACUGGUAACUUCUACAAGACAGGUGCGUGAACUACAGACUUCCCAGCGUUGCCUGGCGCUCUCCCCUCCCUCCCCGCACCUACUACUAGUAAUUCGAUGUUCCCACAUUCCUCUGUGCUAGCUGUGGAGGUUCCUGAGACCCUUUUAGGGGAUCUGCAAGGGCAGAACUGUUUCACAAUAAUACUAAGAUUUGUUUACAUUUUUCAGUGUAUUGACAUUUAAACUUAAAGUGACAUGGAAAACUGCUAGCACCUUGGCGUGAAUCAAGGCAGUGGCAUCAAACUAUAUUUGCAGUUGUAUUUUUCACCAAAGCUUUUUAGGGGGGAGGGGGAGCCAGUUUCACUUAAGAAUGUUCUUCAUGAAGCUGUAAAAAGUAUUCAUUUUACUCCAUUUUGAACCUUGAGUAGAGGUCCUGUUGCUACCCUGUGUGACAGAAUGGGAAGUACGCAUGAAGCAGGCUUGCUGCAUACCAAGUGGCAGUCGAGACAUCUGUUGAGGCUGCGGCCAUCUGAAGGCUUGACUGGACCUGGAGAAUCUGCUUCCAAGAGGUGCACUCACGUGGCUGUUGGCAGGAGGUGUCACUGGACGGACCUCUCCACGGGGCUUUGACGAUGCGCACAGCUUGGCAGCCAGCUUCUCCCAGAGCAAGUGAUCAGAGAGAGGGAGCAAGAUAGAAGCCUCAGUGUCUUUUAUGAUCUACCCUCAGAAGUCAUGCUCUGUAAUUUCCACCACGUUCUAUUCAUUAGAGUGAGUCACAUGUACAGGCCACACUCAAAGAGAGGGAAAUUAAGCUCCACCUCUUAAAGGGAAGAGUACCGAAGAAUACGUGGACAUGUUUCAAUAACACUACACUUAGUGAACCAAUAUUUUCCAAAUGACUGUGUGAUGUUACAAUGCCAUGAUGCACAGAUAAAAAAUCUAUUCUAAUUGCAAGAUAGCCCCAUGGAUUUUUAAUGUAACAGAGUAGGAAACAUUCAUUGAUGUAGUUUUAGAUCCCACAUUGCUUCUGACCUUUAAGAAGCUAUCAUUUGUUGAGUUCUGGUGUAGGAUCAGAGAAGAGUAUCCACAAUUAUCUGAAAAGGCUAUCAAAAUACUCCCCUUAUUUCCAACUACGUAUCCCUGUGAGGCCAAAUUUUUGUCAUAUACUGACAACAGCAUUAGAAUAGACCGGAAUGCAGAGGCAGAUAGGAGAAUCCAGCUCUCUUCUGUUAAGCCAGACAGAGAUUUGCAAAAAUGUACAACAGAGUGGCUCUUCUCACUAAUUAUUUUUGUUUUAGAAAAUGUGUUUUUCUUAAAAAGUGUGUGUGUGUGUGUGUACUAACAUGUAUUGGAUUUAUUAUUGUAAUUUGUAAAUGAAUUAAAUAUUUUUAAAUUUUCUCA
This is a long non-coding RNA of Equus caballus (horse), 2461 nucleotides long. RefSeq lists it as uncharacterized. Lineage: Eukaryota; Metazoa; Chordata; Mammalia; Perissodactyla; Equidae. The record is from RefSeq and is a predicted model, not a curated record.